UUGAGGCGCGAAAAGGCGUGGGGAGCAAACAGGGAUUAGGAUACCCUGGUANGUCCACGCCGUAAACCGAUGAGUGCUAAAGUGUUAAGAGGGUUUCCGCCCUUUANGUGCUGCAGCUAACGCAUUAAAGCACUCCGCCUGGGGAGUACGGCNGCAAGGCUGAAACUCAAAGGAAUUGACGGGGGCCCGCACAAGCGGUGGAGCAUGUGGUUUAAUUCGAAGCAACGCGAAGAACCUUACCAGGUCUUGACAUCCUCUGACACUCCUAGAGAUAGGGACUUUCCCCUUCGGGGGACAGAGUGACANGGUGGUGCAUGGUUGUCGUCANGCUCGUGUCGUGANNAUGUUGGGUUAAGUCCCGCAACGAGGCGCAACCCUUGAUCUUAGUUGCCA
RNAcentral lists this ribosomal RNA (393 nucleotides) under Firmicutes bacterium 7d3-1. RNAcentral's name for it is "bacterial SSU rRNA". It matches the Rfam family "Bacterial small subunit ribosomal RNA", at positions 746 to 1120 of the family's 1533-position model. The record is from RNAcentral. Lineage: Bacteria; Bacillati; Bacillota.